Molecule: transfer RNA, 72 nt
Filed under: Alistipes sp.
Lineage: Bacteria; Pseudomonadati; Bacteroidota; Bacteroidia; Bacteroidales; Rikenellaceae
Description: tRNA-OTHER
Rfam family: tRNA
About the family: Transfer RNA (tRNA) molecules are approximately 80 nucleotides in length.
Source: RNAcentral
UGAUGCGUAGUGUAACGGUUAGCACCUCAGCCCUUGGAACUGAUAGUGUGGGUUCAAAUCCCUCCGCAUCAA